GGUGUGGCUAUUGGAGAGGAGCUGGACAUUCCUGGCGAAUCUCUCCUGUUGUCUCCACACACACCUGUGUUCCACUUAAAGGCAAUCAGCCUCCUCCUGUCUGGUUGCUUAAAAGCAGCGGUUCAGUGUACUUCUUCGCCAGAUUGUCUUGGCUCACCUGAGGUUCACUGCUCCGUCUGCAGCCUUGCCCAGUUUCUGCUCCAGUUUCUGACCUGCCUGCUUGGAUUUAGUCUCUGUCCUCAGCCAGCCUGCUUCGUGGGACACCUGUCUCCUUUUAUGUUCAUCUCAUUGAAGAGGUCAGAUGUCGCUGUUCCCUCAGCUUUCCAACCUGGUGCCCGGUAUUCUCCAUUAGCCCUGGAAGCCAACCCUGCAGCUGUCCCCGCUCCAGUCCCACCCUGGAGGUGGCCGUUACACCUGUCAGAUAAGAGUAGGGUACAGCAUCUUUAAGAUCCACUGACCCCUAACCCCACUAAGCAAGUGUAGAAAAUUAUUAUUAUUUAGAACCAGCACAAUGAACAGUAAAAGAGUGAAGACUAACUUUUUCACAAAGUACAAUAGGACAAUUAUCAAAGAAUACGACUGAAAAUAUGACCUCAGAGCAGCUGGCUAAGCAAAUCAACAUAUUGAUGAUGGACUAACACAUUUUUGGUUUGGGACUUUAUUUGGAAUUUGGAGUUUGAAUAUUGCCAACUAUGUCCUUUAAUGUUAGAGAAAGAUGGGAUGUGUCAACUGGUUCAUGUGGAUAUGUGUGAUGGGAAACCUACUUUUCAGUGAUGAGAUCUUGUGCAUUAUAUUCCCAAACAUUCAGUAGGCCCUUCCACAUUUUUGGAAAAACUUGACAGUAUGCAUUUAUUCAGGAAUUACUAGUCCGCCAAAGCAUGAGACAGAGUUGACUAUUUUCAAAUAAAGCUGUUGUGAUCACUAA
Scatophagus argus is the source of this 925-nucleotide long non-coding RNA. RefSeq lists it as uncharacterized. The record is from RefSeq and is a predicted model, not a curated record. NCBI's taxonomy places the organism in Eukaryota, Metazoa, Chordata, Actinopteri, Scatophagidae. The transcript is spliced from 2 exons.